GGGCGCGCGGAGAGGGAGCGGGAGGGAGCCCUCGGAGGGAGUCGGGGAAGGAAGACCUGCAUAGCUACAGCCAAUCAGGACGGCUUGUGGGGCUCUUAAAGAGGAAGGCGCCCUCCUGGCCUCCGCUGCCCCGGGCUCCCGUGAGCGCGACGGGCGGGCUCGCGGGGCAGGCGCUUGGCCCCUCCGCCCGAGGGUGGGGGCAUGUGGCUCCCCCGCCAGGGAGCCUGCAGCGUGGCUCACGGCACUUUUGUCGUUUUUGUGUGCUUCUCCAGUUCCAAAAAAUAUCUUUCCCUUUUUUUUUUUUUUUUUUUUUUUUUUGAAGCCACAGUUCACUGGUGUUGGCGGAUUUAAAAUACUUGCCUGGGGUAGCAACACAGGUUAAGGCCAUAUCCGAGAUGAGAAUCAGAAGCGCACGCGUCUGCAGGUUCAACUGGCUCCUUGGGCCAGUGGAGGGAGGGAUGGAGGCAGCUGCUCAACUUUUAACAGGCAGCCGCAACCAGACACACAGUAGGUACUCAAUUAGUGCCUUUUAGAUGAUACGUGAUUUAGUAGCCACCAGUGCCCUGUCCACCGCGCAGCCCAUCCGCGGCGGAGCUCUGCUUACUGCUAACUCUGGACUAAUCAGCGCCCUUCCGCCCUUCUGGACUCCGCUGAUGGAACAGUACCGUAAAGUCAGCACCGUUGUGAACGGGGCUUUAGAAAAAUCACCCAGAACGUUCCAAGGAAAAUUACCCCGUGAAAAACUUGUGUAUGUUCAUUCCUCUCUCGCAGACAAUUCAGAGCUGUUCAGAGGGAGCCCUAAUUGCACAGAAAUGCUGACGGGGUGAGCUGGUCGUGUUCUAAGCAGGGAUUUGGAGGCAAAAAGCGGCAACAUUUGACUGACAGUAAGUGGUGGAGAAGAUGCCGAAAUCCAGUUCCUGGACACUCGGGAGGUGCUCUUUUACACCGUCUCCCCGUGAAAUUUUGCACUGGGACCACCAGGGCUUCCCUCCAGUAGAAAUGAAGCCAGAUUUCCACUCCAAGCUGAAAUGCUAACAUCUUCCUCCACUUAAGAGCUUUACUUCUUCAAUUAUUUUACAUAUAGCCUCAUACCUUUUAAAAAUUUUCCCAUGUAUAUGAAGGAGUUUAAAAAUUCUUAAUCACUAUAUCUCAGAGUAAGGACCCUAUUUAUUCUCAAACCUUGUCUACAAUAGAGAUCUUGAACUUGUGGCCUACCUGCAUGUGUAGGACAAUAGUUCUUACCAGGUACUCAAUUUAUCAAUUCUCAACGGUUUUUUGUAAUCUUACCAUCUCUUAAAACCAUAAAAUCUAUAGUUUCUGUCCCCCAUUAUUUGGCCUACAUGCCCAUACUUUUGAGGGAAGAAUUUAUUUUGGAUCAGU
Long non-coding RNA from Leopardus geoffroyi (Geoffroy's cat), 1380 nucleotides. RefSeq lists it as uncharacterized. The transcript has 3 exons. The record is from RefSeq and is a predicted model, not a curated record. Lineage: Eukaryota; Metazoa; Chordata; Mammalia; Carnivora; Felidae.